CUAAAGAUGGCGACCGGCGCACGGGUGAGUAACACGUAUCCAACCUGCCGAUGACUCGGGGAUAGCCUUUCGAAAGAAAGAUUAAUACCCGAUGGCAUAGUUCUUCCGCAUGGUAGAACUAUUAAAGAAUUUCGGUCAUCGAUGGGGAUGCGUUCCAUUAGGUUGUUGGCGGGGUAACGGCCCACCAAGCCUUCGAUGGAUAGGGGUUCUGAGAGGAAGGUCCCCCACAUUGGAACUGAGACACGGUCCAA
RNAcentral lists this ribosomal RNA (251 nucleotides) under uncultured bacterium. Its description in RNAcentral is "partial 16S ribosomal RNA". It matches the Rfam family "Bacterial small subunit ribosomal RNA", at positions 78 to 334 of the family's 1533-position model. The record is from RNAcentral.